CUACGGGGGGUGCAAGCGUUAAUCGGAAUUACUGGGCGUAAAGCGCGCGUAGGCGGUUUGUUCAGCCGGAUGUGAAAGCCCAGGGCUCAACCUUGGAACUGCAUUCGAUACUGGCAAACUAGAACGUGAUAGAGGAUAGUGGAAUUUCCGGUGUAGCGGUGAAAUGCGUAGAGAUCGGAAGGAACAUCAGUGGCGAAGGCGGCUAUCUGGAUCAACAUUGACGCUGAGGUGCGAAAGCGUGGGUAGCAAACAGGAUUAGAUACCCUAGUAGUCC
RNAcentral lists this ribosomal RNA (274 nucleotides) under uncultured bacterium. RNAcentral describes it as "partial 16S ribosomal RNA". It matches the Rfam family "Bacterial small subunit ribosomal RNA", at positions 523 to 796 of the family's 1533-position model. The record is from RNAcentral.